UCUGCAAGUAAGGUUUUGAUUGGUGGACAUGAGCGCCAACUGGCUGGUGUUAGAUCCACAUGUGAUAAUGGAGCUAAUUUUAAUUAGAUUGUUUAUUAUGUGGAUUACUUUUUGUAUCUUUUGUGAAUUGUAAUAUUCAUUUAUUUUCUUUUUAUAAUAAUACUGUUUAUGGAAAAAACCCAGAUUUUGACAGAAGCAAACAAUCUCACAUGGCUUAGUUUAAAUACUUAUAACAUUAUUAAGACAAAAGCUAUAACUUUUAUUUAUACAUUUAACAAAACAUGGUAUUGUAUUAGUUACAUUGUAAUGAAUAAAAUAUAAUAUAAAAACUAUUUUUGGGGCACAAACAUCACAAAUUUCAUGUAGGAUUAAAAAAUGAUUGUUGCAUCGAUGUUUAUUGUACUUUUAAACACUUGUGUUGUUUGGCUUGUAAUACAGUCCUUAUAAAUAAUAAUUUAUAAAUAAAUAAUGUUUUUUAUGUACAGGUCCUUGCACAUUUCCCAUUCCAUCUGGUUAUUUGUUAUCAGGGAUCAUAUACAUGUAUUAAUAAUAAGAUUACAGGGUAGAGAUGGAAGGGUUUUAAUUUCAAGUGUAUAAUGUGUACAGUCAAAUUUUGCUUAAUGCAUGUCACAUUUUACUAUGUUAAAUGAUUUUGGGAGAUGGCCACUGAUAGAGAUGACUGUUGGAAUAAUUUUGACUAUAAGUAUUCAUUUGCCUCUGAUGUGAUUUUUACAAAUACAAAUAAAAGUGGUAAAUGUGUAAAAUAGCUCCGAAUUCCAAAUAUAACAAUCAUGUAAUUGAUAAAUGUACACAAUUUUCUUGUAGUGCCUAUAUAUAAAUUUUAAUUUUACUAUAUUUUUGGAAUAGGGUGACUCACUGUGUCGGUGUGAUUUUAUAUAAAUAUUGCUAUUAAAAGUUAAUUGGCUUGUUGAAUGAAAUAACCCUGAAGUGUGAUUGUUAAGUGGAUUUUGAAGUUACCUUUUUACAACUAAUGGUUACGUUUUAAUUUUUUCACUGAUUAAAAUAGUCUAAAAUAACAAAAAAUCUUUCAUAUACAUUUCUGUACCUAUAUCUAUAUACACAAAAAAAGAAUGUGUGUAGAAUUUGAUCUAAUGUUAAGAUUGAAUGUGAAGUUACUUGUUCAAUAGCUCAAGUGAAGGUGGAGUAUUCAUGUUUAGAAUACAUACAUGUCUUUAGAUUGGUUUUAUGCUCAGUGUUUUUUUUGGCUGGGUUUUUUCUCCCCUACAACUUUUUUCUCCUCUUAAUUAGCUAGUGUAACCUUGUUUUUAUAGCCUUGUUACAUAUUACAGUGUCACAAUUUUUAGCUUUAAAUUAAUGAAAUGAAGAAUGUCACGUUACUUUAUUUCUCAAUCAAUGGGAGAUAACCAUUUACAUUUCAUAUCAGUUGUGAUCAAGUGUCAAAAUAAUCAUCUGUUAGACACCUAAUAUCUGUAGCUUAAAAUUUACUCUCUUUAUUCAGAUAUUUCAUUCCUUUCCUUUCCUAUCAGUGUGAUAUAUUUGUCCUAUAUUGUAUGCUGGUAUGUGCCACAAAUCUGUGUUAUACUGUUAUUAUGGAAUAAACAGACAUAUGAAAAUUGUACAGUUAUACUGUUCAAAAACUAUCAAUUUUUUUUUUCAGAGGUGUGGGUGGUGGUUUAGUGGGACCUGUAGGCAUUUGAUUUUGAAUUUUUUUUUUAAAAAUUGAUAAAAUGUUUUUUUUUAAAUUGUACAAAGUACUCUAAAACACUAUAAUUUUUUCAGAGUGGGCAGGGUGGUAGCCUAGUGGGGCUUGCAAGUAGGCAUUUAAUUUGUUUUAUUUUUAUUUAUUUUUAAACAAGAAAAAACAGAGUUCAGCAGUAAAGUUGAAUAUGUGUCGUACAUUGUUUCUGUUCUUCACCAUUACUAAAUAAAAACAAACAUGCCAAAACUAUUGUAAAAUUUAAUCACUAGUGUUCAGUUUUUUUGGAUGUAUUAAAAUAGUUGUUGAAGAUUUUUUGGGUGUUUUUUUUUUUUUAAGCAACACUAUAAUUAUAAAAUUAAAAGCAGUGUUAAAUUUUAGUGAGAAGCUGCUAGAAUUGUAGCUGUGGAUAUUUUGAUAAGCUUAUAGUCAAGUUGUUAGGCUUUGUGCUAUGUUUAUGAAUGUGAAUGUUUAUCUUUAAAAAUGAUGUAGAUAAUGUAUAAAUUUUGUCAUUUUGUUAGCAAUGCAAUAUUCAGUUUAAAUAUAUGUUGUAGUGUUUUGAGUUGAACUCAUUUAUAUUUGCACAAUACAAAGACAUCCAGAAGA
Gigantopelta aegis is the source of this 2284-nucleotide long non-coding RNA. RefSeq lists it as uncharacterized. The transcript is spliced from 2 exons. The record is from RefSeq and is a predicted model, not a curated record. Lineage: Eukaryota; Metazoa; Mollusca; Gastropoda; Neomphalida; Peltospiridae.